Molecule: transfer RNA, 59 nt
Filed under: Platerodrilini gen. sp. UPOL VP0012
Lineage: Eukaryota; Metazoa; Arthropoda; Insecta; Coleoptera; Lycidae
Description: partial tRNA-Ser
Source: RNAcentral
AAGAAAUAUAUUUUUAAGCUUCUAACUUUUAUAAGAGCAUCUAAUUGUUCAUAUUUCUA